RNAcentral lists this ribosomal RNA (26 nucleotides) under Manilkara paraensis. RNAcentral describes it as "partial 26S ribosomal RNA". The record is from RNAcentral. Lineage: Eukaryota; Viridiplantae; Streptophyta; Magnoliopsida; Ericales; Sapotaceae.
UUGCGACCCCAGGUCAGGCGGGAUNA